ACACGCUUUGCCCGCCAUGUUUCCGGGAGACCUAGGAUGGGCGCUCCUGGUGGUUCUGGUGAGAACACACUCAACAAAAUUGUCAACAAAUUCUAUGAUGAUCCUUCUGUGUGUGCUCAGUGUACCACAAGGCAUUUUCAGAAGACAUGAAAGAAAAAAAAUGUAAUAUGUAAAUGAAGGCAGAGUUACUAUAGCCUGAUUGGAAGUAUUAAAACCACAACUUUAUGGAACAUAUAGCUGCAAACAGUUCCACACAAAAGCACACAAAGGGGGAAUAAACUACAGAAAUCUGGUGUUAUUCUUAAUGCAUUUUUCCACGAGCUGGUAAGAUGUCACUGGACCAACCAAUAACCGUGCGUAAAGCCUGCCUCUCCUCAGACAGAAGAGGAGCCUUAAAGCCCAGAUUUACAAUAGCUCAAGCAAAAGAAAGAAAGAGGCAUCCAUCUGACAGAGAAUGUCUAAGAAGCAAACAGAGCCAUAAUGCUGGUGUCACUUCUCAAUAUCAAAAAAUUAAAAAAAAAUUUUUUUAA
This is a long non-coding RNA of Suricata suricatta (meerkat), 530 nucleotides long. RefSeq lists it as uncharacterized. NCBI's taxonomy places the organism in Eukaryota, Metazoa, Chordata, Mammalia, Carnivora, Herpestidae. The record is from RefSeq and is a predicted model, not a curated record. The transcript has 2 exons.